RNAcentral lists this transfer RNA (53 nucleotides) under Meloidogyne enterolobii. RNAcentral's name for it is "tRNA-Ile". The record is from RNAcentral. Lineage: Eukaryota; Metazoa; Nematoda; Chromadorea; Rhabditida; Meloidogynidae.
AUUAGAAUAUUAUAAGGAAUAUAUUGAAAUGAUAAUUCAAAGAUAAUCUAAUU